Molecule: ribosomal RNA, 765 nt
Filed under: uncultured Bacteroidota bacterium
Lineage: Bacteria; Pseudomonadati; Bacteroidota
Description: bacterial SSU rRNA
Rfam family: Bacterial small subunit ribosomal RNA
Source: RNAcentral
CCUGCCCUUGUCCAUCGGAUAACCCGUCGAAAGGCGGCCUAACACGAUAUGCAGUCCACAGAAGGCAUCUGACGCGGACGAAAUGUAAAGGAGAAGGAUGGGGAUGCGUCUGAUUAGCUUGUUGGCGGGGUAACGGCCCACCAAGGCGACGAUCAGUAGGGGUUCUGAGAGGAAGGUCCCCCACAUUGGAACUGAGACACGGUCCAAACUCCUACGGGAGGCAGCAGUGAGGAAUAUUGGUCAAUGGGCGAGAGCCUGAACCAGCCAAGUAGCGUGCAGGAAGACGGCCCUAUGGGUUGUAAACUGCUUUUAUGCGGGGAUAAAGUGAGCCACGUGUGGCUUAUUGCAGGUACCGCAUGAAUAAGGACCGGCUAAUUCCGUGCCAGCAGCCGCGGUAAUACGGAAGGUCCGGGCGUUAUCCGGAUUUAUUGGGUUUAAAGGGAGCGUAGGCCGUCUGAUAAGCGUGUUGUGAAAUGUCGGGGCUCAACCUGGGCAUUGCAGCGCGAACUGUCAGACUUGAGUGCGCGGGAAGUAGGCGGAAUUCGUCGUGUAGCGGUGAAAUGCUUAGAUAUGACGAAGAACUCCGAUUGCGAAGGCAGCCUGCUGUAGCGCAACUGACGCUGAAGCUCGAAAGCGUGGGUAUCGAACAGGAUUAGAUACCCUGGUAGUCCACGCGGUAAACGAUGGAUGCUCGCUGUUUGCGUCUGACGUAAGCGGCCAAGCGAAAGCGUUAAGCAUCCCACCUGGGGAGUACGCCGGCAACGG